GGGUUGUGAGGUUAAGCGACUAAGCGUACACGGUGGAUGCCCUGGCAGUCAGAGGCGAUGAAGGGCGUGCUAAUCUGCGAUAAGCGCCGGUAAGGUGAUAUGAACCGUUAUAACCGGCGAUACCCGAAUGGGGAAACCCAGUGUGACUCGUCACACUAUCAUUAACUGAAUCCAUAGGUUAAUGAGGCGAACCGGGGGAACUGAAACAUCUAAGUACCCCGAGGAAAAGAAAUCAACCGAGAUUCCCCCAGUAGCGGCGAGCGAACGGGGAGGAGCCCAGAGCCUGAAUCAGCAUGUGUGUUAGUGGAAGCGUCUGGAAAGGCGCGCGAUACAGGGUGACAGCCCCGUACACAAAAGCGCAUGUGCUGUGAGCUCGAUGAGUAGGGCGGGACACGUGGUAUCCUGUCUGAAUAUGGGGGGACCAUCCUCCAAGGCUAAAUACUCCUGACUGACCGAUAGUGAACCAGUACCGUGAGGGAAAGGCGAAAAGAACCCCGGCGAGGGGAGUGAAAAAGAACCUGAAACCGUGUACGUACAAGCAGUGGGAGCCCCACCACCAAAGCAUUUGCUGUACCGCGUUGACGGAGCGAAGCGACGUCAAACCGAUAAAACAGCAGUGUAAAGUGAGCC
RNAcentral lists this ribosomal RNA (630 nucleotides) under Salmonella enterica subsp. enterica serovar Enteritidis. RNAcentral describes it as "partial 23S ribosomal RNA". It matches the Rfam family "Bacterial large subunit ribosomal RNA", at positions 1 to 595 of the family's 2925-position model. Lineage: Bacteria; Pseudomonadati; Pseudomonadota; Gammaproteobacteria; Enterobacterales; Enterobacteriaceae. The record is from RNAcentral.